GAGAAACGUGAGUUGGGGAGAGAGAGACACACACACACGGACAGAGACGGGAGAGGAGAGAGAGAUGAAGAGAUAGAGAGGAGGAGAGGGAAGGGAGGAUAGGCAGGAGAGAGCCAAAAAGAUAGAGAGUGAAAGGAAGAGAGAGAUAAGAGAGAAGGAAAGAUGAGAGGGAGGAAGAUGGAGAAAGUAGAAGAGCAGGAAACAACAGUUGGAGAGAGAGAAAGAAGGAGAGAGAGAAAGAGAGACACUGAGCCCUGGGGACAGAGGGAAGGACAGCUGGGCUGGAGGCAGGGGGCCUGGGAGCCUGGUCAAGUCAGUCCAUGAGGCUGCUCUGAGACGUCACUGGGGGCAGGGAGAGAGUUAUCCAGAACUUUAGUACAGUCUUCUUUCUAGAAAACAGUGCUACCAGAAAGGGCUUAUGUCCAGAUCUGAGGUGCACUUACUUGUUCCCGAAGAUCCAAAUCUAAGUUGCUUUUAGAUUCUACUCUGUGCUUCCACGGAGUCUACUCUAACGACCUUGGCCAGGUCUCUGGCCUCCAUCAAGGAACGACCAGAAUUCCUGGGUCUGGCCACAGGUUUUGGCCCCGCCUCAGAGGGUUGGGUGAGGGGGCUUAGCAGGUGUAGGAGAGCUUGCUCUGGGCAGUAGCUGUGGGCCUUACUUCUGUAUUUGCCGCAGUAUCUGAUUUGCCCUGUAGAGCAUUUAUGUCACUAGGUUUUUACAAAAGUUGCUUUUUGACUUAUUGCCUUAGUGACGAGUUGUCAGGUUUUUCUCUGUUUAAGUGGCUACAGCUGAAUAGCUCAGGCCAAACUUAAAGCUCACACUUGAGACUUGACGUGCUCAGCUCCUGCUAAAGAGGCUCCAGGGCAGCGCCUGCCUUUCCGGGAAGCUCCCCUGAGGGUCACCGAGGCUGCAGAGAACACCCGGUGAUGACUGCAUGGAUCUCCUUCAUCUGCUGGGAUUCAAGCUGUGUUGCUGAGCCUGCUUAGUAAGGAGCGUCCUGGGUUCUGUUCAUGCAGACACGUUCAGACAUCUUUGAUUCUGGAGAAAUUCCCUCAAGUCACACUUUUCUAGAUAAUAUCACAGGUGCCACAUGACCAGUUUGGCUUAUUUUAAAAUGCAUUUCAGAAGCAUUAAGACCAAAAAACACUCUGCAGAAGAGCCUCGGCUAGCAAGCUCCUCCCAGUCGCCUUUUGGAAUUUGCCUUUUUGUGAAACACCAACGUGUCUGUAGGUGUGGCAGUAAUGGAAUGUGAGGAGCACAACUGAACAAGUCACCAAACGUCAAUGAACCAGCUCACUGCUGCUUCUGGAGAACAGCCCGUGACAUUUUCCAAG
RNAcentral lists this long non-coding RNA (1335 nucleotides) under Homo sapiens (human). RNAcentral describes it as "HSALNT0099413". Lineage: Eukaryota; Metazoa; Chordata; Mammalia; Primates; Hominidae. The record is from RNAcentral.